RNAcentral lists this ribosomal RNA (426 nucleotides) under uncultured Actinomycetes bacterium. RNAcentral describes it as "bacterial SSU rRNA". It matches the Rfam family "Bacterial small subunit ribosomal RNA", at positions 233 to 671 of the family's 1533-position model. The record is from RNAcentral. Lineage: Bacteria; Bacillati; Actinomycetota; Actinomycetes.
GCGGCCUAUCAGCUUGUUGGUGAGGUAAAGGCUCACCAAGGCGACGACGGGUAGCCGGCCUGAGAGGGCGACCGGCCACACUGGGACUGAGACACGGCCCAGACUCCUACGGGAGGCAGCAGUAGGGAAUAUUGGGCAAUGGGCGAAGGCCUGACCCAGCGACGCCGCGUGAGGGAUGAAGGUCUUCGGAUUGUAAACCUCUUUCAGUAGGGAAGAAGCGAAAGUGACGGUACCUAAAGAAGAAGCACCGGCUAACUAUGUGCCAGCAGCCGCGGUAAUACAUAGGGUGCAAGCGUUGUCCGGAAUUAUUGGGCGUAAAGAGCUCGUAGGUUGUUUGUCGCGUCGGUUGUGAAAAUCUGAGGCUCAACCUCAGACCUGCAGUCGAUACGGGCAAACUAGAGUGUGGUAGGGGAGACUGGAAUUCCU